GACCAUCACACCUCUCUGUGCUCUCUCUGCUCUCUGCUUUCUUCAUCUCCAGGUCUCCCAUCUGUCCCUGUCUCUACCAUCCUCAUCCUCACUCUGUCUCUCCAUGGGAGUCAUGUCCUCCCCCAGGUUCCUGUCACUUCAUCUGCUUGGAGCCUUGCUGCUGCCGCUGCUGCUGCUGCCUGGUUCUUGGGCCCAGCAUUAUGAUGAUUUCACAUCAUCUCCAGAUUACGACUCUGACUACAACUCCACCUUUGAGUACAGCUUCUUCAGUAAUACGAGCAGCGAGGACCUGGACAGACUUGUGGAACGCUACCUCGAUCCAGACGAAACUACGGAGGACACUGGAGGACCAGAGGAGGAAGUGGCUGUAACCAUGGUGAUUACAAGAAGAACAACAGAGGGGGUCAACGCUCACGGCACUGCACCAUUUCAGGUAUGUUUGGUUUCUGUGGUCAGGCUGAGAACUCUGCUGAGCCUCAUGGUUCACCAAACCCUGAGUCAAAGCCAAACCUUCAGAGGCAGCCGAUGGAAGACAGCACACUGCUCAGUAGACCAUUCAACACUUUAUUACUUCUAGAAGGGAGAUGCGUCCUGCACAACACGUUGCUGCAGAUCUCAAAAUGCUGGAAAUCAGGACGCUGCUCUGGACUCUGGUGAUCCUGUUGGUCCUGCAGCAGCUGCAACACACACUCUGGUGACAGGUGUCGAGACAAGCCCCUCAGCUCCGUCCUCAGUGAACAUGGCUCCUCAUGGGAGCAGGUGGACCAAUCACAGAGCUUCUUUCCUGAACCAUUUCAGAAAGUUUGCAGACAAACGCCUGGAAGAUUUCACUACGUGGUGACAUUUUUAUUAUACGUAAAGAAGUUUUUUGAUGGAACUGCUGAAUAAGCCAUACUUUAGAAAAGAUGUUUAUAUUUGUAAUAAAAAGAUGUUUUUAAAGACAAUAUGAAGUUAUUUUGUGUCCUUAUUGUGCAAACAAACAACAUAAGUGUUUGUAGUUGAGUGCAAACAAGCACUGUGUUACAGAAUAAACAUGUUGAUGGACGGGGUCAGCGGGGGCCUGGAGCUUUCAUUUUUUCUCCAAAUCACAAGUGUUGUUGGCUGAACUGUGAAACGUCAGCUGAAAGAUUUCUAUUACAGCAGAACCGUCACUGUGCAAACGUUUGCAUCUGUUCAUAUUCAGGAUCCAGGAGCGGAUUUGGAUCCACAGUUUAAUCACAGAUUUAUUUGACUUGCGAUACAUUUUUGAUUGUGCUGUUUAUAGUUUUCCUCUAAAUCCUGUUUGUUUGCAUAAAAAAGACACAAAAGUGACAGAAUAAAAACACGAUUGUAUGAAUGAGCAUAUUUGCAGAUACAUUUAUAUAUAAACAAAUAAAGAUGAAGUAUUUAAAGUGGACCCCAGCAUCCUCCGUGGUUACAAUCAUCAGUUUGUCAGCGACAUGUUUGAUUGUUUAUUUGGAUGUUUGAUCUUCCUGUUCGAAAAAACAAAACUGCAGUCCCAUCGACAACAUGCUGAAAACUAUUUUUAUUAAAAAAUAAACAUUUUCCAAAACGUU
This is a long non-coding RNA of Astatotilapia calliptera (eastern happy), 1556 nucleotides long. NCBI's taxonomy places the organism in Eukaryota, Metazoa, Chordata, Actinopteri, Cichliformes, Cichlidae. The record is from Ensembl.